GAUGUUUUAAAAAGCAAAAUUGUCUGUGACCUUAUCCAGUCAGAAUUGUGAAAAUCCCCAAAUUUAUAGCUUUAUGAUCAAGCAUAGUGAUUUUCUUUUUCUUCUUCUUUCUUUGGUGUGGAGAUUGGACUCAAGUCUCCUGCAUGGUCAUCUGAUCCAAGAAGCAGUUGAAGGAUGGGUCCUCCAGAGGGCAGGGCUAGAGGGGCAAGAUCCUGGCACCACCCUGUUUCAUCAGACCUGCUGAUCCUCAGGGGACCCAGCUGUGUGAGACUCAGCCUUUCCACCCCAGCAUCCAAGAGACCCCCUUUCUUCUGCCUCACGUUCACUGUCCAGGGACAUAUCCCCUGAAGGGAUGCUAAGGGGAAUGUCCAGGGGAAUCUAGUGCUGGAGGACAUUCACGAACACCAGAGAAUUGGGUGGGCUUGACUCUCUUUUCAGGUCUCUGGGGAAAGGGUGAAGAGGAGGCAGUCGGGGCAGGGCUUUUCCUCCUGCAAACAGUGCAUCCCAGUGGGCUCUGCAGAAGCCUUGGC
This 530-nucleotide long non-coding RNA is filed under the name Marmota monax (woodchuck). Lineage: Eukaryota; Metazoa; Chordata; Mammalia; Rodentia; Sciuridae. The record is from RNAcentral.